This 482-nucleotide ribosomal RNA is filed under the name uncultured bacterium. RNAcentral describes it as "partial 16S ribosomal RNA". It matches the Rfam family "Bacterial small subunit ribosomal RNA", at positions 30 to 507 of the family's 1533-position model. The record is from RNAcentral.
AUUGAACGCUGGCGGCAUGCUUUACACAUGCAAGUCGAACGGUAACAGGCCGCAAGGUGCUGACGAGUGGCGAACGGGUGAGUAAUGCAUCGGAACGUGCUCAGUCGUGGGGGAUAACUACUCGAAAGAGUAGCUAAUACCGCAUACGAUCUAUGGAUGAAAGCGGGGGACCGUAAGGCCUCGCGCGAUUGGAGCGGCCGAUGUCAGAUUAGGUAGUUGGUGGGGUAAAGGCUCACCAAGCCAACGAUCUGUAGCUGGUCUGAGAGGACGACCAGCCACACUGGGACUGAGACACGGCCCAGACUCCUACGGGAGGCAGCAGUGGGGAAUUUUGGACAAUGGGCGCAAGCCUGAUCCAGCAAUGCCGCGUGCAGGAAGAAGGCCUUCGGGUUGUAAACUGCUUUUGUACGGAACGAAACGGCUCUGGUUAAUACCCGGGGCUAAUGACGGUACCGUAAGAAUAAGCACCGGCUAACUACGUG